AGUGAACGCUGGCGAUAGGCCUAACACAUGCAAGUCGAACGGCAGCACAGUAAGAGCUUGCUCUUACGGGUGGCGAGUGGCGGACGGGUGAGGAAUACAUCGGAAUCUACUUUUUCGUGGGGGAUAACGUAGGGAAACUUACGCUAAUACCGCAUACGACCUACGGGUGAAAGCAGGGGAUCUUCGGACCUUGCGCGAUUGAAUGAGCCGAUGACGGAUUAGCUAGUUGGCGGGGUAAAGGCCCACCAAGGCGACGAUCCGUAGCUGGUCUGAGAGGAUGAUCAGCCACACUGGAACUGAGACACGGUCCAGACUCCUACGGGAGGCAGCAGUGGGGAAUAUUGGACAAUGGGCGCAAGCCUGAUCCAGCCAUACCGCGUGGGUGAAGAAGGCCUUCGGGUUGUAAAGCCCUUUUGUUGGGAAAGAAAAGCAGCAGGUUAAUACCCCGCUGUUCUGACGGUACCCAAAGAAUAAGCACCGGCUAACUUCGUG
Molecule: ribosomal RNA, 492 nt
Filed under: uncultured bacterium
Lineage: Bacteria
Description: partial 16S ribosomal RNA
Rfam family: Bacterial small subunit ribosomal RNA
Source: RNAcentral